This 274-nucleotide long non-coding RNA is filed under the name Setaria viridis. RNAcentral describes it as "long non-coding RNA (SVIR_LNC002077)". Lineage: Eukaryota; Viridiplantae; Streptophyta; Magnoliopsida; Poales; Poaceae. The record is from RNAcentral.
GUUGCUACGUUUCAUGAAGAUGUAUAUAUUGAAGAGACGAACGGUCAGAAUGCUUUUUUUUUUGUUAACGGGCUCUCAGAACUCCAAAAACCUUCAAAAUGGAUCGGUCACAGCCCAUUAUCUGUCUGAACGAAUGAACCACGAAACUAGCCCAUGUCAGCCCAGGCCUAGCAGGCUAGCAGCCCACAACCCAAAACCCUCGCUUCGCCGAACCUGUCUCCACUCUAGGCUCCAGCACUCCACGCGGCGGAAGGCCAUUCCCAUUUCCACCCAC